This 247-nucleotide ribosomal RNA is filed under the name uncultured Streptococcaceae bacterium. RNAcentral's name for it is "partial 16S ribosomal RNA". It matches the Rfam family "Bacterial small subunit ribosomal RNA", at positions 524 to 771 of the family's 1533-position model. The record is from RNAcentral. Lineage: Bacteria; Bacillati; Bacillota; Bacilli; Lactobacillales; Streptococcaceae.
UACGUAGGUCCCGAGCGUUAUCCGGAUUUAUUGGGCGUAAAGCGAGCGCAGGCGGUUAGAUAAGUCUGAAGUUAAAGGCUGUGGCUUAACCAUAGUACGCUUUGGAAACUGUUUAACUUGAGUGCAGAAGGGGAGAGUGGAAUUCCAUGUGUAGCGGUGAAAUGCGUAGAUAUAUGGAGGAACACCGGUGGCGAAAGCGGCUCUCUGGUCUGUAACUGACGCUGAGGCUCGAAAGCGUGGGGAGCAA